AUACGUAGGGGGCAAGCGUUAUCCGGAUUUACUGGGUGUAAAGGGCGUGUAGGUGGUCUGGCAAGUCAGAUGUGAAAGCCCGCGGCUCAACUGCGGGACUGCAUUUGAAACUGUCAGACUGGAGUGCAGGAGCGGGAAGUGGAAUUCCUAGUGUAGCGGUGAAAUGCGUAAAUAUAGGGAAGAACACCAUUGGCGAAGGCGGUUUCAUGGACUGAAACGGACACUGAGGCUCGAAAACGUGGGGAGCAAACAGGAUUGGAUCCCCUGGGAGUCCACGCCGUAAACGAUGAAUACUAGGUGUCGGGUGGCAAAGCCAUUCGGUGCCGCAGCUAACGCAAUAAGUAUUCCACCUGGGGAGUACGUUCGCAAGAAUGAAACUCAAAUGAAUUGGCGGGG
RNAcentral lists this ribosomal RNA (396 nucleotides) under uncultured bacterium. RNAcentral's name for it is "partial 16S ribosomal RNA". It matches the Rfam family "Bacterial small subunit ribosomal RNA", at positions 523 to 918 of the family's 1533-position model. The record is from RNAcentral.